RNAcentral lists this transfer RNA (67 nucleotides) under Atrichornis clamosus. Its description in RNAcentral is "tRNA-Cys". Lineage: Eukaryota; Metazoa; Chordata; Aves; Passeriformes; Menuridae. The record is from RNAcentral.
GGCUUCGUGGUGAAAUUCAUAUUGAGUUGCAAGCUCAUUGAUGUGCGUUAAACACGCGCCGAAGUCU